RNAcentral lists this ribosomal RNA (777 nucleotides) under uncultured Neocallimastigales. Its description in RNAcentral is "partial large subunit ribosomal RNA". It matches the Rfam family "Eukaryotic large subunit ribosomal RNA", at positions 22 to 649 of the family's 3401-position model. The record is from RNAcentral. Lineage: Eukaryota; Fungi; Neocallimastigomycota; Neocallimastigomycetes; Neocallimastigales.
GUACACGCUGUGACUAGCAUAUCAAUAAGCGGAGGAAAAGAAACUAACAAGGAUUCCCUUAGUAACGGCGAGUGAAGCGGGAAGAGCUCAAAUUUGAAAUCUUCAAGGUUUUACCUUGACGAAUUGUAGUUUAAAGAAGUGUUUUCUGCUGAAGUUUUGGUAAAAGUUCUUUGGAAUAGGACAUCAUAGAGGGUGAGAAUCCCGUAUUUGACCAUUAUUUUCAGCUUUGUGAUACACUUUCAAAGAGUCGGAUUGUUUGGGAAUGCAGUCCAAAAUGGGUGGUAAAUUUCAUCUAAAGCUAAAUAUUGGCGAGAGACCGAUAGCGAACAAGUACCGUGAGGGAAAGAUGAAAAGAACUUUGAAAAGAGAGUUAAACAGUACGUGAAAUUGUCAAAAGGGAAGCGUUUGACACCAGUAGUUGUUUUCUCGAAAAUCAAUUAAAAAUGGCUCGAUUUUGUAUUGCUUGAGACCUUAAAAGCUCACUGUACAUUAUUCGUGUCUUUUUUAAUGCACUUUUCGUUUAACAAGUCAACAUCAGUUUCUUUUGUUGUAAAAGGGUCAUUGGAAGGUGGCUUUCUUUUCGGAGAAAGUGUUUAUAGCCUUUGGCCUCUGCAAUCGAAGAGACUGAGGUCUGCAGCGUAGACUCUUCGGGGUUAGAUACAUUUGUGCUAAGUUAUAGCUUUUUAUAGACAACUUGUUGACUAUAAUUAGUCUUGUUAGCUUACUCGCUUAUGCUAUUUUACCUACGCUUAGGAUGUUGAGUAGCGACAUACGCAC